This 248-nucleotide ribosomal RNA is filed under the name uncultured bacterium. RNAcentral describes it as "partial 16S ribosomal RNA". It matches the Rfam family "Bacterial small subunit ribosomal RNA", at positions 57 to 305 of the family's 1533-position model. The record is from RNAcentral.
GCAAGUCGAGCGGUAGAUUGAUUAAAGAAGCAUCGGUGGAAUUAAUUGAUUGAGAGCGGCGAACGGGUGAGUAACACGUUGGUAUCUGCCCCAAAGUCAGGUAUAGCCAUUGGAAACGAUGAUUAAUACCGGAUAGUCUCUUCGGAGUAAAAAUUUAUUGCUGGGGGAGGAACCUGCGGUCUAUCAGCUAGUUGGUGAGGUAAUAGCUCACCAAGGCUAUGACGGAUACCUGGUCUGAGAGGAUGAUC